RNAcentral lists this ribosomal RNA (490 nucleotides) under uncultured bacterium. Its description in RNAcentral is "partial 16S ribosomal RNA". It matches the Rfam family "Bacterial small subunit ribosomal RNA", at positions 355 to 838 of the family's 1533-position model. The record is from RNAcentral.
UGGGGAAUUUUGGACAAUGGGCGCAAGCCUGAUCCAGCCAUGCCGCGUGCGGGAAGAAGGCCUUCGGGUUGUAAACCGCUUUUGUCAGGGAAGAAAUCUUCUGAGUUAAUACCUCGGGAGGAUGACGGUACCUGAAGAAUAAGCACCGGCUAACUACGUGCCAGCAGCCGCGGUAAUACGUAGGGUGCAAGCGUUAAUCGGAAUUACUGGGCGUAAAGCGUGCGCAGGCGGUUUUGUAAGACAGAGGUGAAAUCCCCGGGCUCAACCUGGGAACUGCCUUUGUGACUGCAAGGCUUGAGUGCGGCAGAGGGGGAUGGAAUUCCGCGUGUAGCAGUGAAAUGCGUAGAUAUGCGGAGGAACACCGAUGGCGAAGGCAAUCCCCUGGGCCUGCACUGACGCUCAUGCACGAAAGCGUGGGGAGCAAACAGGAUUAGAUACCCUGGUAGUCCACGCCCUAAACGAUGUCAACUGGUUGUUGGGAAGGUUCCUU